AUACGGAGGGUGCAAGCGUUAUCCGGAUUUAUUGGGUUUAAAGGGUCCGUAGGCGGAUCUGUAAGUCAGUGGUGAAAUCUCAUAGCUUAACUAUGAAACUGCCAUUGAUACUGCAGGUCUUGAGUAAGGUAGAAGUAGCUGGAAUAAGUAGUGUAGCGGUGAAAUGCAUAGAUAUUACUUAGAACACCAAUUGCGAAGGCAGGUUACUAUGUCUUAACUGACGCUGAUGGACGAAAGCGUGGGGAGCGAACAGCAUUAGAAACCCCAGUAGUCC
This 274-nucleotide ribosomal RNA is filed under the name uncultured bacterium. Its description in RNAcentral is "partial 16S ribosomal RNA". It matches the Rfam family "Bacterial small subunit ribosomal RNA", at positions 523 to 796 of the family's 1533-position model. The record is from RNAcentral.